RNAcentral lists this long non-coding RNA (967 nucleotides) under Homo sapiens (human). RNAcentral's name for it is "long intergenic non-protein coding RNA 2434". Lineage: Eukaryota; Metazoa; Chordata; Mammalia; Primates; Hominidae. The record is from RNAcentral.
UCCUUCCGGUCUGAACAGUGAACUCCUCCGCAUGGACUCACGGGUUCACCUCCUUCCGGUCUGAACAGUGAACUCCUCCGCAUCGACUCACGGGUUCACCUCCUUCCGGUCUGAACAGUGAACUCCUCCGCAUGGACUCACGGGUUCACCUCCUUCCGGUCUGAACAGUGAACUCCGCAUCGACUCACGCGUUCACCUCCUUCCGGUCUAAAUGGUAAACUCCUCUGCAUUUUCUGUUCGGUUCUAUUUUGGUGGGGCCCACGCGUCAUCACAGAGUAUCUGGGAGCCCUGCCCUCUUGCAGAUGGGAAUGAAGGCCCAGGUGCUCUGGAGAGGUGACUCUCCUCUAGGAAACACUGGUUCUGUAAACCUGUUUGAGAAGAAAAGCUCGAGGUUUCUUGGCCUCUCUGCUUCUGGAGCCAGGGGAAAAAAUAGCCCCAGGCUGAAGACAGGAGGGACCAGAUUGCUGCUUGGUGAUGCGAUCUCACUGCAGAGGCAGCCAGGAGACCCUCCUGAGACGAAUCGGAGAGUCCAUGCUGCUUUUACACACAUCCUAGUUCUUUUAUAACUAGCCUUUUCCUAUUAACGGACAUCAUUCAAAAGCCAGUUUUAAGCAACAUAAAUAUUGAAAACAAUACUAUACUAUUUAGAAUUAAUUAUAAGUUUUGUUUUUAAAGCCUAAAUCUUUUAUUGUUGUUUGAACCCUGGGCACUGAAGCUAAUAAUGUAACUUUUCUCCCUUCUUUCUUCUUUGGCAUAGAUUUAAAGAACUGUUAGACUCAUUUAAAAUGCUAUUAGGCAUUUUAAAGAGUAAUUGUUAAAUGUGUUGUCUCUUGUGGGACUGGAAAUGUUCUGUUCUUAUCUGGCGCUGGUUACAUCCUGUUUUUCAUUUGGGAAAGUGCAUUGAGCUGGAAAUUUAUAUGUUCAAUUUCUGUAUGUAAAUUGUACUUCAGUAAAAAUUUUCAAAAAA